GGGUCACUGUCAUUUUGGCAUUUCUGUUGCCAGGGUUGGAAGAGGCCGCUGGUUAGUGGGCCCCUUGCCCGAGGGUGUAGGCUCCUAAAACUCCCCUGACAUUUUCACCGCGUUCGUCCUCUCCCGAACCCCCCACCCCCGCCCACGGGGGCUGAAAGUCGCAGGACUUUUGAUGGCCCCUAUGUGUCUGGGCUGGGGUGGGGAUGGGAGGGCCGGUGUAGACGGGCCACCCCUUUACGGCUGGGGGUGAUGAAGCGGGACCCGCCGCAAGAGUUGAGGGGCCCAGUGCAAAAUGAAAAUGCCAGGUUCCUUGUGCAUGAGUUAUUAGGAACUCCAAAACGGUGAAAAGCAGAGCAUCAGACCCAGCGCCGGCCCCUGCGACCCCACAGGUCGUGGCCCGUGAACCUGUCGCUGUGCUUCCGGGACUGUGGGCCCCGAUCAGAUGCUGGAACCCUCCAUUACGAAGGGCUCCUGUGUGGUCUCGCUUUUUAGUUUUCAUUGUCAGUGCCGUUUGCCCUCCCCAGUGCCUUUGGAUGGAUCUUCGUCACCGUCCUAGGAUUGCUCACCAUCCUCAAGCUGGAAAACCCACUGAAGAUCAGGCAUCUCUAAGUGCUGAGCUGAACAUGGCUGAAGGCUGGGGCUGUCUUUUUCCCUGGCGUCUUCCUCUGAAGCUGGCAGAAUGAUGGACAGAUGGUACUGAUUGUAUGAAAGCAACCCCUUCAGCCAAUUCCUGUCUUCCUGGGAAGACCCCUGGAAGAAACAGGCCUCUUGAGCACUUGAUGCAGAUGACCACGAGUGGAUAGCCACCAGCAGGAGGAUGGAUUCAUGAAAGCUCAACGUUUCCUGCUAAUCCAUGAACCAUAAUGACUCCCAGGAUGCCCUAUGAUAAGUAUAUCCCACCUGUUUCCAAACCUCUGUCAGUGCAGAACAAGGCUGCCGCGAAUUAGGCCUGAAAUUACACUCACAGCUGUGUUUUGGUUUUUCUCUAGGGAAUGCUUUGCUGGUCUUCCAGCCUUCUGUCUGCCCUUGCUCUAAAGGAUGGGUUCUCCGAGUGCAAGCUUUGGCCAAGUUCCCACACAUACUCCAUGUAGAAAAGAGGCUGGUGCCCCCUCUGCUGCAUGCCACAUUUAUUUAUUUGAGAGAGAGAGAGAAUCUCGAGCCGACUCCCUGCAGAGCGUGGAGCCUAAAGCAGCGCUUGAUUCCAUGACCCUCAGAGGGUGACCGGAACAGGGGGCUGGAUCCCAAGACCCUGAGAUCAUGACGUGAGCC
Molecule: non-coding RNA, 1269 nt
Organism: Leptonychotes weddellii (Weddell seal)
Lineage: Eukaryota; Metazoa; Chordata; Mammalia; Carnivora; Phocidae
Source: RefSeq, a predicted model, not a curated record